CUGUGGGAGCUCUUGAAGCUACAAGCACAGUAUUUCAUUCCUGCUAGAGUCCAUGUGGAGCAGUCCUGAGAUAAGUGCUUCGGCCUGAGGCUAGAGAUGGAAUUGAGACCUGACCUUGGACAGGAGGAGCUGGACAAGCACAGGGCCUUCCACCUGGAAAGGUCGUGAGGAAGCAGGGUCCACAUACAACCUGGGGUUCAGGGAGGUCUGGGCCAGAGAUGAAAAUGUGUGAGCCAGCCGCCGGCCAAAGGCAGAGUCACAAGAGAGCGUGAAUCUCAUCAAGGAGUGCAGCAGGUAGGAAGGCUUUUGUUAGCACUCCUUCAUGUCUGAUACAUACGUAAUUUCCAUCACGUCCUUUUCCAGACGUGUUGGAAGUGCACUGGUCCUGGACCUGCUCCCGCUCUAAUCGGCCUCAUAAACAUGUUUUCUGCGGCGCUUCUCUCACCUCUUAUUUAUGCGCCUCAGGUUCCAAAGUCCCGUCUCCAGAUUGCCUGUGCAUCCACCUGCCUUCACAGCCUUCAGCUCCCUUUAUCAGUAAGCUAAAGAGACCAGUGUCGGUGCCAGUGUUUCGUGGGAUCCUCUGUUUCAGAGCUAGGCUAGGUGGCUUCAGGAUGGCAAGUCCCUGCCAGGAGACACCACGUCCAGGCCAGUGAGGAGGUCACGCCUGUUCUCAACCACAACCCGCGGGGCCCAGGCUGUGGAGCACAGUGCCGUGUAGGGACCACUGGGCGCUCACCUCGAAUCCUGACGCUGCACCCCGAAUGAAUCAGUCCCAGCAGAGCCGGCGUGUGAGGCUCUGCAGACAUAGUCCCAUCAGGAAGGUAGAUUCCAGCAGAAGCUUUGUCACAAGUGGCAUGGCUGCAGCCACCACAGCUGGGCGUGGUAGGGAAACCUGGAUCUGCCAGGGGGACCAGCACAUGGCUUUGGGAGAGAAGCUCUAAGAAUCAUGAAACUUUACCAAACACUGAAACCUUCUCAACUGCAGAGCUCGCUCGUGAUGAGCCCAGCCCGCCUCCCCGGGGAGUGAGGCCCCACACGGCUGUGAGCAGCCCGGACUCCUCCAUCCCGCACCGCAUUCCUGCUGCUUCUCCUCAGCCGCAGUUGCUGCAGCCUCACCCAGAUCGUCCCGGUGUAAAUGCUGGGAAAAUAAACCCGCGCGUCUCAUUUCCGCACAGCCCACGCUCCAAAGUAUAAAUGUUUUCCUUUAAUGAGGUACACAAAAGCCUUUGUGGAAGUGUAAAUAACAAGUUUUACUUUGAAAGCAACCAUUCUCACCCCACAGCUACUGUGCACCCUACAGUCCCUCACACCGCGGCAAGCGGCACGGAAGCGUCAGAGCGGAUCCCAUGACACUCAUGCGCUAUUCAUGCAAUGGAGGUUGCUAAGGAGGCCGCUUCCUCAGGCAGGACGGGAAGAGGAGAAUUAAAAUGCACAACUUAGAUUCAUCUACAGAAAUGUAUUCCAGUUGUAAACUAAUCGCUAUGCUUGGGAAAUGGUAGCCUCCUCAAAAAUGUAUACACGAGGAAAAGAAAAAUGUGCACAAAUUUGUAAUACCAAACUUACUGAGACACUGCAAGAUCAACACAAGUUUCCUUUGGCCUCUACAAUCACAAGGGCUCUCCAGGUGGUGGCCACAAGCAAGCAGAUGUCCAUUAGUACAGUGAACUGCUGAUGUGUGUUGGACUCUAUUGUAGCUCUACUAGGGAACAGAUUCUGAAUUUUGCACUUUGAAAAGGAGCGUUUCUAUGAUGUCAUCUGAACCUGUCUCUGAGCACAGCAACAUCAUCGGCAGAAUGAGGUGUUUCAGUGUCUCCCUGAACCUUCAUCAAGGAGACACUUAGAGGCGACCAUAGAAAAGUACAUGGGCUCUCAGAGGAGUCAUGGGAAGAGGCCCCGAGGAACGUGCCGCACCAGGCUAGCCUGGUCCCUGAUGCUGUCCUUUUCUAUUCUUUUUUUUUUUUUUUGGUACCAGGGAUUGAACUCCGGUCCUUGCGCUCGCAAGGCAGGCCACCGAACCACUGAGCUAAAUC
Long non-coding RNA from Fukomys damarensis (Damara mole-rat), 2030 nucleotides. The record is from Ensembl. NCBI's taxonomy places the organism in Eukaryota, Metazoa, Chordata, Mammalia, Rodentia, Bathyergidae.